CCUACGGGUGGCAGCAGUAGGGAAUCUUCCACAAUGGGCGAAAGCCUGAUGCAGCAACGCCGCGUGAGUGAAGAAGGGUUUCGGCUCGUAAAGCUCUGUUGGUAGGGAAGAAAGAUAGAGGUAGUAACUGGCCUUUAUUUGACGGUAAUUACUUAGACAGUCACGGCUAACUACGUGCCAGCAGCCGCGGUAAUACGUAGGUGGCAUGCGUUGUCCGGAUUUAUUGGGCGUAAAGCGAGUUCAGGCGGUAAAAUACGGCUGAUGUGAAAGCCUUCGGCGCAACCGGAGAAGUGCCUCAGAAACUGGUGAACUUGAGUGCAGAAGAGGAGAGUGGAACGCGAGGUGUAGCGGUGGAAUGCGUAGAUAUAUGGAAGAACACCAGUGGCGAAGGCGGCUUUCUGGUCUGCAACUGACGCUGAGGCUCGAAAGCAUGGGUAGCGAACAGGAUUAGAUACCCGUGUAGUC
Molecule: ribosomal RNA, 465 nt
Filed under: uncultured bacterium
Lineage: Bacteria
Description: partial 16S ribosomal RNA
Rfam family: Bacterial small subunit ribosomal RNA
Source: RNAcentral